UACGUAGGGUGCAAGCGUUAAUCGGAAUUACUGGGCGUAAAGCGUGCGCAGGCGGUUAUGUAAGACAGAUGUGAAAUGCCCGGGCUUAACCUGGGAAUGGCCAUGGAAACUGGCGAACUGGAGUGCGGCAGAGGGGGGUGGAAUUCCGCGUGUAGCAGUGAAAUGCGUAGAGAUGCGGAGGAACACCGAUGGCGAAGGCAGCCCCCUGGGCUAGCACUGACGCUCAGGCACGAAAGCGUGGGGAGCAAACAGG
This 253-nucleotide ribosomal RNA is filed under the name uncultured bacterium. RNAcentral describes it as "partial 16S ribosomal RNA". It matches the Rfam family "Bacterial small subunit ribosomal RNA", at positions 524 to 776 of the family's 1533-position model. The record is from RNAcentral.